GGUUAUACAUGUAAUCCAAUAUAAAUUUUUUGGUAAUAAUUAGUAUAUUAUAUUUAAGGAUUAAAAGUUUAUUUUAUUAGGUGAAAUUUUAAAAUUUUUAUAAUCUUUGUUAAAAUUAUAAGGUUGAUAAACUUUUUUUAUAGACUAGGAUUAGAUACCCUAUUAUUUUUAGUGUAAAUUUAAUUUGCCAGAUUAGUAGUAGUUAUAUUCUUGAAAAUUAAAGAAAAUGGCGGUAUUUUAGUCUAUUCAGAGGAACCUGUCCUAUAAUUGAUGAUCCACGAUUUAAUUUACUUAUUUUUAGUUUACAUAUCGCCGUAGUUUGAAUAUUUUUAUAGAAGUUUAAUGUUCAAGAUUUUUUUUAUUAAAAUAAAAUCAGGUCAAGGUGUAGCUUAUAGAUAAGAAGAGAUGGGUUACAAUAAAUUUAUUUAUACGGAUAAAAAUUUUAAAAUUUUUUUAAAGGUGGAUUUGAAGGUAAUUUUAUUUUAAAUUUUUAAGAUGAUUUAAGCUCUAAAAUAUGUACAUAU
RNAcentral lists this ribosomal RNA (524 nucleotides) under Apodrosus alberti. RNAcentral describes it as "partial 12S ribosomal RNA". Lineage: Eukaryota; Metazoa; Arthropoda; Insecta; Coleoptera; Curculionidae. The record is from RNAcentral.